This 499-nucleotide ribosomal RNA is filed under the name uncultured bacterium. Its description in RNAcentral is "partial 16S ribosomal RNA". It matches the Rfam family "Bacterial small subunit ribosomal RNA", at positions 28 to 507 of the family's 1533-position model. The record is from RNAcentral.
GACGAACGCUGGCGGCGUGCCUAAUACAUGCAAGUCGAGCGAAGUUUUUCUGGUGCUUGCACUAGAAACACUUAGCGGCGAACGGGUGAGUAACACGUAAAGAACCUGCCUCAUAGACUGGGACAACUAUUGGAAACGAUAGCUAAUACCGGAUAACAGUAUUUCUCGCAUGAGAGAUAUUUAAAAGUUGGUUAUGCUAACACUAUGAGAUGGCUUUGCGGUGCAUUAGCUAGUUGGUGGGGGAAAGGCCCACCAAGGCGACGAUGCAUAGCCGACCUGAGAGGGUGAUCGGCCACACUGGGACUGAGACACGGCCCAGACUCCUACGGGAGGCAGCAGUAGGGAAUCUUCCGCAAUGGGCGAAAGCCUGACGGAGCAACGCCGCGUGAGUGAAGAAGGAUUUCGGUUCGUAAAGCUCUGUUGUUUGGGAAGAAUGGAUAUGUAGUAACUAUACAUGUAAGAGACGGUACCUAACCAGAAAGCCACGGCUAACUACGUG